GAAAAAAAAAGUCGUGAAACUUUAAAGUGGAAAAAGUAAUUUCUCUGUUUCAAAAAAUACAAUAAAAUAAAGAAAAAAGAGUAAUUUCUCUGUUUCAAAAAAUACAAUAAAAUAAAGAAAAAAGAGUAAUUUCUCAAACUUCUGUAAUUAUAAGCACUGACGGCGAAAGAAGGAUAUGAAUUACUAGAAAGCUAAUGUGGAAAAGCAAAAGCAAAAAGAGAUUGGAUAAAUUGUUUUUACCCUGAAAAAGAAAGAAAUCCAACAGAGAAAUCUUGUCUGAAGACUACUUAAUGCGCAAUAAUGCUGGGUAUCCUAUGAUUAAAUAAUCAACCACCCCUCCCUUAAACAUGGAAUUUAACCCACUUAAUUAAUUACCCAUCCAUCCAUCUUGAACUAUCCUCUUGCUUGAUUCGAAUUUUCUAAUUUUAGAUUAAAAAAACUUUAUUGUUUAUACUGAGUAGGUUUUAGCAGUAAUGUUGGCGCACCUUACCAAAAAAUU
Molecule: long non-coding RNA, 499 nt
Filed under: Theobroma cacao (cacao)
Lineage: Eukaryota; Viridiplantae; Streptophyta; Magnoliopsida; Malvales; Malvaceae
Description: long non-coding RNA (TCAC_LNC005319)
Source: RNAcentral